Molecule: ribosomal RNA, 404 nt
Filed under: uncultured soil bacterium
Lineage: Bacteria
Description: bacterial SSU rRNA
Rfam family: Bacterial small subunit ribosomal RNA
Source: RNAcentral
GGAACGAACGCUGGCGGCAUGCCUAAUACAUGCAAGUCGAACGAACACUUCGGUGUUAGUGGCGCACGGGUGCGUAACGCGUGGGAAUCUGCCCUUGGGUUCGGAAUAACAGUUGGAAACGACUGCUAAUACCGGAUGAUAUCGAAAGAUCAAAGAUUUAUCGCCCAGGGAUGAGCCCGCGUAGGAUUAGCUAGUUGGUGAGGUAAAGGCUCACCAAGGCGACGAUCCUUAGCUGGUCUGAGAGGAUGAUCAGCCACACUGGGACUGAGACACGGCCCAGACUCCUACGGGAGCAGCAGUAGGGAUAUGGACAAGUGGGCGCAAGCCUGAUCCAGCAAUGCCGCGUGAGUGAUGAAGGCCUAGGGUUGUAAAGUCUUACUUUACCCGAGAUGAUAAUGACAGUA